RNAcentral lists this long non-coding RNA (423 nucleotides) under Physcomitrium patens. RNAcentral describes it as "long non-coding RNA (PPAT_LNC004639)". The record is from RNAcentral. Lineage: Eukaryota; Viridiplantae; Streptophyta; Bryopsida; Funariales; Funariaceae.
UACUUUUUAGUGAGUUUGAUCUUCUUCAAAAAAUUUAUGCUUGUUCUCAACUUAAUUUUUAAAAGGUAUUCAAAUUUUGAAUUAAAAUAAAUGGUUUAUUCAUUAGGUAUUGAGGUUUAAAUCUACUAUAAGUAUUACUUGGAAUUAUUUAAGAUUUGGUUAGGAUUUGACUAGGAUUUGAUUAAAGUUUGUUUAGGAUUUGAUUAAGAUUUGGUUAGGAUUUGAUUAGGAUUUAUUUAGAAUUUGGUUAGGAUUUGUUUAAGGUUUGAUUAGGAUUUGUUUAGAGUUUGACUAGGAUUUGAUUAAGGUUUUUUUAGGAUUUUAAUAGAAUUUGAUUAGGAUUUGUUAGGAUUUGACUAGAGUUUAAUUUAGAUUUCUAUUUUAAUAUUUUAUUAAAUUUUCUAUUUUAGUAUAUUUUUAAAU